CCGACCUACGGGGGGCAGCAGUGGGGAAUAUUGCACAAUGGGGGAAACCCUGAUGCAGCAACGCCGCGUGAAGGAAGACGGUUUUCGGAUUGUAAACUUCUGUUCUUAGUGAAGAAGAAUGACGGUAGCUAAGGAGCAAGCCACGGCUAACUACGUGCCAGCAGCCGCGGUAAUACGUAGGUGGCAAGCGUUGUCCGGAAUUACUGGGUGUAAAGGAAGCGUAGACGGCGCGGCAAGUCUGAAGUGAAAGGCAGGGGCUUAACCCCUGAACUGCUUUGGCAACUGCCAUGCUAGAGUGCUGGAGG
Molecule: ribosomal RNA, 305 nt
Filed under: uncultured bacterium
Lineage: Bacteria
Description: bacterial SSU rRNA
Rfam family: Bacterial small subunit ribosomal RNA
Source: RNAcentral